GAGCUGUGUGUCCUCCGGUUGAUACUCGAAGACUCAAAGGGAUCAUUCAGCAGCUGUGGAACUUUUUCUAUUCUGCCAGAAUGUUCAUGGGCUCCUCUGCCUGCAGUUGCAGCAUGAAGACCGCCUGAAGGCAGAGAGCGGCGGAGUCAUCAGGAAGGGGAACCCUCUCCAGGGCCCUAGAGUGGGCUCACACGUGCUGACAAAGCAAGAGACUUGGCUGGAGGGGCGCCCGGGAGGACAGCAGCAGGCUAGGGCAUGGAGGAGAAAUAUACUUCCAUGUUUGCUUACAGGGAACUCUAGAAGGACCCGUAAGAAACAAAACACUACCUGCGGAGGGCAGACGGCCCUGGGCACACAGGCUAAACGACAGGAGGCACAAAUUAAGGCGAGUAUAUAAUAUAUCUCUA
This is a long non-coding RNA of Capra hircus (goat), 407 nucleotides long. RefSeq lists it as uncharacterized. The record is from RefSeq and is a predicted model, not a curated record. The transcript is spliced from 4 exons. Lineage: Eukaryota; Metazoa; Chordata; Mammalia; Artiodactyla; Bovidae.